AUGAAAUGCAUGCUCACUUUGGCAGCAACAAUACAGAGAAGACUACCAUGGCCCCUGCACAAAGAUGACAUGUAAAUUCAUGAAGUGUUCCACAUUAUA
Molecule: small nuclear RNA, 99 nt
Filed under: Saimiri boliviensis boliviensis (Bolivian squirrel monkey)
Lineage: Eukaryota; Metazoa; Chordata; Mammalia; Primates; Cebidae
Source: RNAcentral